CGCCGGGCGCCGUGGCUCACGCCUGUAAUCCAACACUUUGGGAGGCUGAGGCGGGCGGAUCACUUGAGGUCAAGAGUUCAAGACCAGCCUGGCCAACAUGAUUCUACUCUAAAAGUCACCAGGAAAAAUUCAGCUCCACUGGUCCGGGCUCUAAGUCUACUAGCAAAAUCUUCCAGAGAAGUGGAAAAGCCAUCAGCCAAUGUGUUAGACUAUCAUUUCCAUGACCUUACACCUAUCAAAAAGGCACUAUUACCAGGCUUAUAGAAUUCUAAAAAAGUUGGAAACCAUUUUCCAUUAUAAAAGAAAUUCUUCCAAAUCACACAAAACACUCUGACACUUCUCCAGUUCCCCCUUU
This 355-nucleotide long non-coding RNA is filed under the name Pan troglodytes (chimpanzee). Its description in RNAcentral is "lincRNA". The record is from RNAcentral. Lineage: Eukaryota; Metazoa; Chordata; Mammalia; Primates; Hominidae.